Molecule: ribosomal RNA, 400 nt
Filed under: uncultured eukaryote
Lineage: Eukaryota
Description: partial 18S ribosomal RNA
Rfam family: Eukaryotic small subunit ribosomal RNA
Source: RNAcentral
CAAUAGCGUAUAUUAAAGUUGUUGCAGUUAAAAAGCUCGUAGUUGGAUUUCUGAUAUCUUUUUUCUUCUUUUCUUGUUUACUAAAUUGUAAAUGUAAAGUUUGAUUGGAUAUCUUCCUUCCCUGUUAAUUUGGUUUUUAAGCAUUAACUUGUUUAUGGAUCAAAUGGGGAUCUUUUACUGUGAAAAAAUUAGAGUGUUCAAAGCAAGUAUUUAUUUUCUUGAAUACAUUAGCAUGGAAUAAUAAGAUAGGACUUUGGUUAUAUUUUGUUGGUUUGCAAACUGAGGUAAUGAUUAAUAGGAACAUAUUGGGGAUAUCUGUAUUUUUUAGUCAGAGGUGAAAUUCUUGGAUUUAAGAAAGACAAACUACAGCGAAAGCAUUUAUCAAGGAUGUUUUCAUUGA